RNAcentral lists this ribosomal RNA (460 nucleotides) under uncultured bacterium. RNAcentral describes it as "partial 16S ribosomal RNA". It matches the Rfam family "Bacterial small subunit ribosomal RNA", at positions 338 to 795 of the family's 1533-position model. The record is from RNAcentral.
CCUACGGGAGGCAGCAGUGAGGAAUAUUGGUCAAUGGCCGGAAGGCUGAACCAGCCAUGCCGCGUGAAGGUCAGUGCCCUAUGGGCGUUAAACUUCUUUUGUUCGGGAGCGAUAAUGGUCACGUGUGGCCAGACGAGAGUACCGUACGAAUAAGCAUCGGCUGACCCCGUGCCAGCAGCCGCGGUUAGUCGGGGGAUGCAAGCGUUAGCCGGGAUUAUUUGGGUUAAAGGGUGCGUAGGCUGUACGGUAAGUUCGCGUUGAAAUGCCCCCGCUCAACGGGGUGAAGUGCCAUUGAUACUGCCUGGCUGGAAUGCGGAUGCCGUGGGAGGAAUGUGUGGUGUAGCGGUGAAAUGCAUAGAUAUCACACAGAACACCGAUUGCGAAGGCAUCUCACGAAUCCGCGAUUGACGCUGAUGCACGAAAGCGUGGGUAUCAAACAGGAUUAGAUACCCUUGUAGUC